AAUUAGCAGAAAUGAAAGAAAGAAAUGAUAGACCGCGUGGGAUGCAGUUGAUUGGUGGUUUCCAGCAGUUGUUUAUUGCUGCAUGCAGUGCAACGCUAAAUUCUUUAGAUGGCAAAAUAAAAGUAGCUCAAGAUUACUUGUUCUGUAUUUGUCUUUUCUUUUCUGUGUUCUUCUUCCCAUGGUCACUUCUGUCAAUCUUCUUUAUUU
This 207-nucleotide long non-coding RNA is filed under the name Nicotiana benthamiana. RNAcentral's name for it is "long non-coding RNA (NBEN_LNC002814)". Lineage: Eukaryota; Viridiplantae; Streptophyta; Magnoliopsida; Solanales; Solanaceae. The record is from RNAcentral.